AUAUGUAAUCCAAUGAAUUAGUAAUAUAGUAUGAAAAAAUAGUGACCAACGAAUUUAUUUUGUAACUUGAGUGAUAGUAGAGGCACUCGCCAAGGCCUUUUUUUUUAAAGAAAAAAUGGCAGUGAGAACAAAAACCAAACACCUCUCGUGCGCCAAAACCAUCCGCCGCCUCCGGCAUCAGCCCCGCCACUGCCUCCGUAAAGAAGGUACUCAUUCUCUUCUCAAGGAAGAUCCGUUGGAAAUCCUGUCUAAUCUGUGGAUCAAAACUUUCUCUCAACCCCAAAAACCCUUCACUAACCUCACUGGCUUUCUCUCAAAACUCGAUCUCUGGAUCCUCGCUUACCAACGCACAUAUGCUCAUCUCACUGGUUCUUUCCCCCCUCGGAAUGCUAUCCAAUCCCAUGUUCUAUCCGACCUCUUAUCCCUCCGGAAUACAGUUAUCCGUGGAAAAUUCCUUUGGCAUACAAAAAUCCAUCAAUAUAUUCGUGGCCCUAAUGAAAAACCCAUUACUGAGCAGCUUUCCAGGAGUCAGCUCCAAUCUAUACUCACAUCCAAAACGCCGCCCUUUCAGGAUGUUGUGGUACAACAAGCUUUACUUAUGAUAUUUGAACCCAUUUUUGAGCCUAGGUUUUCAUCAAAGUCCCAUGCUUUUCGCCCUGGAAGGAAUCCCCAUACUGUUAUUAGGACCAUUAGAAGUAAUUUUGCUGGUUAUUUGUGGUUUCUGAAAGGUGAUAUUAGUGAGGUUUUUGAUAAUGUUGAUGUUGAUGUCGUUAUGGCUACUCUUGAAAAGGCUAUCAAGGAUAAGAAGGUGUUGAACUUAAUAAAGUCGGGGUUGAAAGCUCAUCGACGUGGAGAGGAGGGUGAAGAAGAAGAAGAAAAAGAUAGCAGGAAGAGAAAGAAGGGGCGGACAAAAAAGAGGAUUUUAAAUGAGAAUGAGCCCAAGCCAGAUCCUUAUUGGUUAAGGACAUUCUUUGAGUUUGCUCCGCAGGAGGCUUCUAAGAUACCCAAUUAUGGUGGUUGUGGAAUUCUAAGUCCUUUGUUGGCUAAUGUAUGUCUUAAUGAGCUUGAUCAUAUGAUGGAACAGAAAAUAGUUGAGUUUUUUAGGCCGUGUGAGCGAGACACGAUAUGGAAAUAUUCUAUGGAUGAUGGUUGUCAUAAUCCUGCUUGGCCUGAGUUUGUUCCUUCAAGUGGAAAAGAGAAGACGAGGAAGAUGGAUUUUAUAAGGUUUGGGGGUCAUUUCUUGGUUGGGAUUCGAGGGCCUAGACAAGAUGCCGUGGAAAUGAGGAAAGAGAUAAUUGAAUUUUGUGAGAGAAUUUUUGGGGUCAGGUUGGACAAUUCAAAAAUAGAGAUUGAGCAUAUUUCUAGGGGAAUUCAGUUCCUGGAUCAUAUUAUUUGUCGUCGUGUUAUUUAUCCAACUCUACGUUACACAGCCAGUGGUGGUAAUAUAGUGAGUGAGAAAGGUGUAGGUACUUUGCUUUCAGUCUCUGCUAGCUUGCAACAAUGUAUCCACCAGUUUCGAAAGCUCAAGCUUGUGAAAGGUGAUAGGGAUCCUGAGCCACUGCCUUGCACACCUAUGCUUUACUCUGGUCAAGCUCACACUAAUUCUCAAAUGAACAAAUUCCUUGAGACAAUGGCUGAUUGGUUCAGAUAUGCAGAUAAUCGGAGAAAAGUUGUUGGCUUUUGUGCAUAUGUGGUUCGUAGCUCUCUGGCUAAGUUAUAUGCUGCCAGGUAUAGGCUGAAAUCUCGUGCCAAGGUUUAUAAGAUUGCCUCGCGUGAUUUAAGCUGUCCAUUGAGGGAGCACACCAACAAUUCUGCACCUGAGUAUUCAGAUCUUUUGAGGAUGGGACUUGUUGAUGCUAUUGAAGGUGUUCGGUUUUCCCACAUGUCCUCAAUCCCGUCAUGUGAUUACACUCCAUUUCCAAGGAAUUGGAUCCCUGAUCAUGAGAAGGUGUUGCAUGAGUAUAUCAACUUACAGGACCCCAAGUUUUUCUACCAGCUGCACAAGUCAGUUAAACAGCAUGGUAUGUGUUUUCCUCAAGAUGAGAUAUCUCAUAUUGUGUGGCAGUAUAAGACUCUUGGGGUGCGAAACUUGUCGCAGAGGUUACGUGAUGACAAGGGGAUGGAAAAUGCUUAUGAGAAAGUAAUGGUGGCAUCAUCAUGAACGUGGCAUGAAAUGUGAAAGUUUAUCAACAUAUAUUGCUAUUGAUGGUGCCAACUGACUUCUUAUUUUUCUGAAGCUAGAUGAUCAAUGUCUAUCUUGAUGGAUGAUAUUAAAGUUGGAAGUUGAUCUUAUUUAACAAUCCUGGUGAGCAGAUUAAGCUCGAUUACAGUGAACAGAUUCCCUUAUAAAGCUUUUUCAGUAGAGAACUAAAGAUUAAAUUUGUCAAUACAGAUUUAUGAGACCAUUUUUAGUACGUCUUUUUGUAAAAUUCUCUUCUUAUGGUUGAGACCUGUGAGGAAUAACUGCUCCAAUAAGCAUCUAUAAUUUGGAUGAGUUUCUGAAAGGAAUAAAUUAUUGACACCAACAUAUGUGCUUUUAGCUUUAGACUAAAACACUCGCCAUCUCCACGCCCCCUACCGCAAGAAUAAUAGCUUUUUUUAAUUGCAUAUAUAAGUUGGAUGAGUUCCAUCAGAAACUUACAUUCUUAACACUUCAGAGAUCUUUUAGCUUCUUCCUUAAACCCUAGCCUGCACAUAUAUUCCCCCAUGGAAACUGUGUGAUCUGCUGCAGCAAUGGGAUGAAGUCAUGUCACUCCAAAGCUGAACUGAAGUUAUGGCUAUGACGUGAUAGCUCAUAAGUUCUGCUGAAAUAAAUGUAGCCAACAAAAUAAAAGUUGCAUUCCUGGUAUUUUGCUGCAGAAGAAAAGAUGUUCAUCUUCAGCUCCAUAUACCCAUAUAUAGUAAACAGAGAGCUUGAGGACUGCCUGCAUAUUUUCUGAAGACGAAUGAAUAGUAAGCUGUGUGAAUGCUUCCACAAACAAUGGCUCCUCGCUCUUACUUGGGCAUUUUUCAGUUGGAUCGAGACUACACUAGUGGAACGUGAGAAGAGGCUGUUCGGUGAUGCAAGUCAUUGAAGCUGCUGAUUGCCUGGGAAAAGACCUGCCUGAGAAGAGAGAUAUAAUACUCGACUGGAUAGAUGACCCAAAUACAUUUUUAUGAUAAAUAUACGGUGCAUUUUAUCCGACAUGGGACCAGUAAUAACAAUAUCAGCGCAGUAUAACAUUUUGCAAUGUUCAAAUUUGUUGAUUGAGUCAUUAUUCAUCACAUCUGCCUAUUCUAUCUUAAAUUUAUCAAAACCCAUCUGUCAGAUACACACUUUCACAAAUGAUGUUGCGGAUUUGUGAAGUAUUGGGGUGAAGUGAUUAGUAAGGACAUGGCGCAGUCUUGGCUCACCGAGGAUAUGACCUUGACAGGAGGGUGUGGAGGUCGAGGAUUAGGAUAGAAGGUUAGUA
Solanum tuberosum (potato) is the source of this 3452-nucleotide RNA transcript. RefSeq lists it as uncharacterized. The transcript is spliced from 2 exons. The record is from RefSeq and is a predicted model, not a curated record. Lineage: Eukaryota; Viridiplantae; Streptophyta; Magnoliopsida; Solanales; Solanaceae.